GAUGAACGCUGGCGGCGUGCCUAAUACAUGCAAGUCGAGCGAACAGACGAGGAGCUUGCUCCUCUGACGUUAGCGGCGGACGGGUGAGUAACACGUGGAUAACCUACCUAUAAGACUGGGAUAACUUCGGGAAACCGGAGCUAAUACCGGAUAAUAUAUUGAACCGCAUGGUUCAAUAGUGAAAGACGGUUUUGCUGUCACUUAUAGAUGGAUCCGCGCCGCAUUAGCUAGUUGGUAAGGUAACGGCUUACCAAGGCAACGAUGCGUAGCCGACCUGAGAGGGUGAUCGGCCACACUGGAACUGAGACACGGUCCAGACGCCUACGGGAGGCAGCAGUAGGGAAUCUUCCGCAAUGGGCGAAAGCUUGACGGAGCAACGCCGCGUGAGUGAUGAAGGUCUUCGGAUCGUAAAACUCUGUUAUUAGGGAAGAACAAAUGUGUAAGUAACUAUGCACGUCUUGACGGUACCUAAUCAGAAAGCCACGGCUGACUACGU
RNAcentral lists this ribosomal RNA (496 nucleotides) under uncultured bacterium. Its description in RNAcentral is "partial 16S ribosomal RNA". It matches the Rfam family "Bacterial small subunit ribosomal RNA", at positions 28 to 506 of the family's 1533-position model. The record is from RNAcentral.